CUACACACACUCCGCACGUUGGGUUGCCGAUGUACCCCCAGCUUACUGCUGUCCGAUGGCGUGUGUGUGAGCGUGUGCCUGAGUACCAUGGCUGAUUAACCCCGCGCACACUUGUAGUUAGACUGCACAGCACGUACAAGUGAAGACGGGCUUGCCCAUCACUCUUGUCCACGUCGCCUUACGGACCGAGCGUGUAGGCAACCUUGCUGUGCCGCACGCACGAGUGCGGGCGGGUUGCCUACUCUCUCGGCCCGUCAGGCGCCGUGGACAGAAGUGAUAGACCCGCCUGCACUUGUACGUACUGUACAGUCUAAUUAAUCAGCCAACCUGGCACAGUGGCUCUUGUAUGAAGAGACGUGGAAUUAGAGAGCUGACUGAGCGAUUCGGAAUGUUUAUCAAAAUGUAUUUAAAACUUGCGGUUGGUAGCGACGUCAGGCGUCCCCACUCGCCCCGCUCUUCCCGCCUCUUGUUCAAACACCGUCGGUAAUCGUGAACGUUUGCGGCGCCAGCAGGACAAGCAUCCUGGAAGAAGUUUUGCUGGGCAGAGACCACCCGAGUGAUCGGGUAAUCCAGAAUUCUCAUGACCAGUCACGCGUUGCUUAUCCACAACAAAUAGGGCGAAACACCAAAAGGUCCAGCACAGCACGAUACAUCAGUUGUUGUCACGCAUGCGCAGUGACGCAGUUUCACAGCAGAAGAGCACAGUAAAAACUUUCAAUUUUCUUAGACCCUUCGUUUUUCUUACAUUACUCGUGUGCCCAUUCAAAAGCAGCGAUUAUAUUAGAUCAAUUUUAGAGUAACACAUGUUUUCUCUAAAAAUUAGUUGAUUAAUCAUUUGAUAACAUGAGGCUUUUAGGUGGAAUAAUCAGAACAGUAGAAAACAUAACCUCACCGUUUCUGGUGAGAUGUAAACAGAGAGAAGUUCACACUUCACAUUCAAGCAACAGUGCUGUAUUAAUAGAUGGAUUGAAAAGAGCUCAAGUAAUUCAAAAACAAUUAAAACGUGAAGUGUUUUCCAUGCAAGAACAAGGGUACCAGUGUCCGCAGUUAGUUACAGUAUUGGUAGGAAAUAAUGAAGCAAGUCUCACCUAUGUUAAAAAGAAGAUGAUAGCUGCCACUGAAUUAGGUAUAUCCGCCAACUUGAUUCAUUUGAAAAGUUCUGUUCAUGAAUCAGAAUUGAUUGAUUUAAUCAAAUCUCUCAAUGAAGACCAAAAUGUUCAUGCUAUUUUGGUUCAGUUACCUCUCCCAAAACAUAUGUGUAAGCAGACCAUAUGUAACAUAAUUGAGCCACUUAAAGAUGUUGAUGGGUUCAGUUUCAGUAAUCUAGGGAAAUUUUUCCUGGGCUCUAGCACCUUUUGGCCCUGCACUGCUUUGGCAGUUUGUGAUCUCAUCAGAAGCACGGGCAUUGAAUCAAAGGGUAAAAAUGCUGUUGUCUGCGGGAGGUCAAAAAAUGUUGGUCUCCCAAUUGCUCUGGCUCUUCAGGCUCCAGGCAUGGAUGCUACAACAACAAUUUGCCACCGAUUCACGCCCCAUCAACAGCUGUGCUCUCUCACAAGAAAUGCUGACAUUCUAGUUUCUGCCACAGUACAGGUGUUCCAAAAUUAAUAACUUCUGACAUGGUCAAGCCAGGCGCUUGUGUUAUUGAUGUUGGGAUUACACGAAUACCCGGGAAAAAGUCAAUGAUUGUAGGGGAUAUUGAUUUUGAUGGUGUAAGCAGGAUAGCUGGCUACAUAACUCCAGUUCCUGGAGGAGUAGGACCAAUGACUGUUGCCAUGCUAAUGAAAAACACUGUGAAAGCCGCUAGAAGACAUCAGGUCGGCUUAGGGACAUAAUCAAUUCAAUUCAUUUAAAUUCAAUUCAUGUUAAAUUGUUGUUGUUUUUUAAAGAGGGAGCGGGGGGGAUCCUGUUGAUUUGUUGUACAUGCACAAAUGGUUGCAGGAAACUUAUAUUUAAAUUUUGAAAUGUAAUGUGAACUUUUUAAAAAAAUUAAAUACCUAAAGGCAGUAUUUGAAAAA
RNA transcript from Frankliniella occidentalis (western flower thrips), 2015 nucleotides. It is a transcript of the gene named bifunctional methylenetetrahydrofolate dehydrogenase/cyclohydrolase, mitochondrial, with no coding region annotated. The transcript has 7 exons. Lineage: Eukaryota; Metazoa; Arthropoda; Insecta; Thysanoptera; Thripidae. The record is from RefSeq and is a predicted model, not a curated record.